Molecule: long non-coding RNA, 285 nt
Filed under: Lathyrus oleraceus (garden pea)
Lineage: Eukaryota; Viridiplantae; Streptophyta; Magnoliopsida; Fabales; Fabaceae
Description: Pisum sativum (pea) long non-coding RNA (PSAT_LNC005711)
Source: RNAcentral
AAAAUAUUAAUAUUCUAGUUAUUUUCUAAUUAUUCUACUAAGCUCCUACAUUAUCACCACACCCUACCAUUACCAUUACACCCCAAUAACACAUGAUUUAUUUUAAUCAAAACACCAAAUAAUCAAUUAAAAAUCUAAGUAAUUUAAUUUAAUUAAUUAAUCAAAUUUGGGGUGUUACAGUGCUCAACUAUAUAACAAUGCUCAAGUAACUCUGCGUAAGCGUUGUAGCACUGUUGGCCCACACUAUGCUCAGUUUACCCUCUAAGACCAAUCUUGCAUUGAUUU